Long non-coding RNA from Coregonus clupeaformis (lake whitefish), 1359 nucleotides. RefSeq lists it as uncharacterized. Lineage: Eukaryota; Metazoa; Chordata; Actinopteri; Salmoniformes; Salmonidae. The record is from RefSeq and is a predicted model, not a curated record. The transcript has 3 exons.
UGAUUUCUUCGUCCCGCUCCCGCAGCUUUUAAUACCGCACAACGCCCGCUGGCUUUCUGUCCGAUUCCCAUCUGCUACGUCAAGAACUGGUCCCAAACCCAACAUGUUAUUUUAGGCGCAUGUGACGCAGCUCACGUGCCAGCCAUGGUCUCAGCAAUUUUGCACCCUACAGGCUAUAUGGAAUUCGGGGAAAUUACAUCAGAAAAUAGGUUAAAUCACCAGAGAUUCUCACGUGGCCACAUUACGCUAUCUGUAUUAAUGGGUUCGCUAAGGCAUACCAAGCAGAAAGAUGACCUUUCCAAAUAAUCUGCGGGACAACACAACUAUUUUCAUCCCAAAGUAGUCUGCCUGACUGCCCGCUCCCUCCCGCUGCAUGAAAAAGGCCGGCCGUGCCACAAUGAUCUCUGUCGGGACCGGCAGGUCCAGCGGGCCGUCCCAUGCCAGAAUUGAAGGAUCUCAACAGCUGUCUCAGCCGUCCAGUGGACUGGAUCACGGGGCUGUGUGCGGAACCGGAGUCUAUUCAUGUCAGUUAAGUAAUUGCAUCUCUCCAAAAUGGUUUGGUUCAGUCUAUUUAUGAGAGACUGCUGAUCUCUUUCCAGCCUAUCUGGAAAAUGUAUGAGUGGGACAUAGAGUAUUGCACUAGGAAACAUGUUCUCACACACUUUCAGCAACUGCUGCAGCUGUUUCCAGGUGGUGCUAGAUGUCUGUCUCAAGAGGCAGUUGUUUAAGCCUGCAGACAGAAUCACCUUCUCUAUGGCAGGGUUUGGUUCUAGCUUCUCCAAAACGCCUUUCAGAUGAUAGCAGGUGGCCCCUGGAAAGCUAUCCACCUGCAUCACAAAAGGCAGGGAUGCUUGACAGAUUUGAAUCUCCUAUCACCACAACAGGUUUACCUAUGUCAAUCACCCAGUCCUUAAUCUUUCUCCCUGUGUUAGGAUGUCUAAGAGGCUCCCGGCGUGUGGCUAGAACAGGCUCAGAUGGCAGGUUUGGGAAUCGAACCCACAACCCUGGCAUUGCAAACACCAUGCUCUACCAACUGAGGUACAUUCCUGCCACAUUUCAGACUACUGCACAUAAUACUUCCUAUCUAAACCUAACUGCUUGUGAAACCCCCACACAGAGGUGUGAAAUUCCUCAACUUGAGGAGCCUCAGACAUCAGAACAAUGGCCUGACAACACCUGAGACAUUCUUUAGCAAGAUGGUAUCUGCCAAAAGUGUGUUGAAUAGACAAGGGUGAAAAUAAAAACAAUAUGCAGGUUUUCUUUUAAAUGUGUUGUUUAUUUUAAAGUGCAGAUACCCAAAACUGAAAUUUAAGUUGAACAUGCAUGGCUAAAUAUAUUACCAAAAUUACAGAUUUACAU